AUAAGGGCACAGGGCGGAUGCCUUGGCACUAAGAGCCGAAGAAAGACGUGAUAAGCUGCGAUAAGCUUCGGGGAGGAGCAAAUAUCCUUUGAUCCGGAGAUCUCUGAAUGGGGAAACCCGGCAGAGCACACCUCUGUCAUCCAUACGCCAAUCCAUAACGUAUGGAAGGGAACCCGGGGAACUGAAACAUCUAAGUACCCGGAGGAAAAGAAAGAAAACUCGAUUCUGCAAGUAGCGGCGAGCGAACGCGGAAGAGCCUAAACCGGAAUGCGNAGCAGGUACGAAAGUAGGGCUUAGUGAUCCGGUGGUAUUAAGUGGGAAUGCCAUCGCUCAACGGAUAAAAGCUACCCUGGGGAUAACAGGCUUAUCACUCCCAAGAGUUCACAUCGACGGAGUGGUUUGGCACCUCGAUGUCGGCUCAUCGCAUCCUGGGGCUGUAGUAGGUCCCAAGGGUUGGGCUGUUCGCCCAUUAAAGCGGUACGCGAGCUGGGUUCAGAACGUCGUGAGACAGUUCGGUCCCUAUCCGGCGUGGGCGUAGGAUAUCUGAGAGGAGCUGUCCUUAGUACGAGAGGACCGGGAUGGACGGACCGCUGGUGUACCGGUUAGACUGCCAAGUCUACGGCCGGGUAGCCAAGUCCGGAAGGGAUAAACGCUGAAGGCAUCUAAGCGUGAAGCCCCCCUCAAGAUGAGAUGUCCCAUUCGAAAGAAGUAAACCCCCUUGAAGACGACGAGGUAGAUAGGGCAGGGGUGGAAGUGCAGUAAUGCACGGAGCUGACUGUUACUAAUAGGGUGAGGGCUUGACCAA
This 805-nucleotide ribosomal RNA is filed under the name Ruminococcus sp. Marseille-P328. RNAcentral's name for it is "bacterial LSU rRNA". It matches the Rfam family "Bacterial large subunit ribosomal RNA". The record is from RNAcentral. Lineage: Bacteria; Bacillati; Bacillota; Clostridia; Eubacteriales; Oscillospiraceae.